GGUGGAUGCCCUGGCAGUCAGAGGCGAUGAAGGGCGUACUAAUCUGCGAUAAGCGCCGGUAAGGUGAUAUGAACCGUUAUAACCGGCGAUACCCGAAUGGGGAAACCCAGUGUGAUUCGUCACACUAUCAUUAACUGAAUCCAUAGGUUAAUGAGGCGAACCGGGGGAACUGAAACAUCUAAGUACCCCGAGGAAAAGAAAUCAACCGAGAUUCCCCCAGUAGCGGCGAGCGAACGGGGAGGAGCCCAGAGCCUGAAUCAGCAUGUGUGUUAGUGGAAGCGUCUGGAAAGGCGCGCGAUACAGGGUGACAGCCCCGUACACAAAAGCGCAUGUGCUGUGAGCUCGAUGAGUAGGGCGGGACACGUGGUAUCCUGUCUGAAUAUGGGGGGACCAUCCUCCAAGGCUAAAUACUCCUGACUGACCGAUAGUGAACCAGUACCGUGAGGGAAAGGCGAAAAGAACCCCGGCGAGGGGAGUGAAAAAGAACCUGAAACCGUGU
Molecule: ribosomal RNA, 499 nt
Filed under: Salmonella enterica subsp. enterica serovar Enteritidis
Lineage: Bacteria; Pseudomonadati; Pseudomonadota; Gammaproteobacteria; Enterobacterales; Enterobacteriaceae
Description: partial 23S ribosomal RNA
Rfam family: Bacterial large subunit ribosomal RNA
Source: RNAcentral